GGUCAUGUAGCUCAAUUGGAAGAGCAUCAUGCUAAAAACAUGAAGGUUGUGAGUUCGAGUCUCACCGUGACCA
Molecule: transfer RNA, 73 nt
Filed under: Terfezia boudieri ATCC MYA-4762
Lineage: Eukaryota; Fungi; Ascomycota; Pezizomycetes; Pezizales; Pezizaceae
Rfam family: tRNA
About the family: Transfer RNA (tRNA) molecules are approximately 80 nucleotides in length. Their secondary structure includes four short double-helical elements and three loops (D, anti-codon, and T loops).
Source: Rfam by way of RNAcentral